AGAGGAAGUAAUGACAUUCAGAGCGAAACUAAGCUCCCCAGCCUCAUGAUGUGCUUCCUAUAAAACAGGUCUCUUCUUUCCUGUCUGACCUCCACAAGGAAGGCAUACAAUCUCAUACUGUCCUUGUUUUGGUUUUGUGUGGCUGUAAAAGGGCCCUCUUCAUUUUGUGAUCACGUCACAUCUGGGUUAAAGAAGACUCCACGACUCUGGAGGAAAAGCUUUGUUUAGGAAGGAAUAGGGACAAAGAAAAUGUUCUGAGUGACCCUGACAAGUUGUGAUCCUCCUAAGGAGGAGACGUCCAGGUGCUCUACAUGGGUAGCUAACCCUGUAACUACCAGUACUCAUCCCAAAGAGAACCUACUGUUAGGCUGAGUCUUAUGUAUUCCCAUUGCCUAGAAGGUUUUAUCAUCUAGAAAUGGUUUGCUACAUCAGACGGUUACAAGAACUAACUUUAACUGUUGCAGUUCUGACUUGAACCUGGCAUUUUCUGAAUGCUGAACUGAAACCGGCUAAGAGUGGAACAACCUACCAGGAAGUUUGUGCUGGGCUUCCAAAACGGUUCUGUCUUCCGCCAAGUGGAUCAGAGCCAGAACAACAGAUGGAGUCUUUUACACCGCCCUCGUGCCUGCUUUACACCAGGCAUGGUGCGCAGCAGCCCAGGCAGAAAUGCUUCUGGCAGAGAAUGGGAAGUGGAGCCCUCUGACAUUCAUCCUGACUCAGUACAGUUGCAACCCUGAUCUAGGCCUUAAGAAAAGUCCAGUUACAUGCUUUAUUGUCUUCCUUAUGCACUCCUUAACAAAGCACUACUCUGAUACAUAUACUAGUAAACCUUGCUUUUAAUAUACCUCGAGGUCUUUACUGUCCCUUUGACUUCAGCUGCAAGGAGUCACCAAAAUGCAUGCAUGACUGCCCAAGCAGCUGGGCUUAAAAGCCUGUUGAGGAGCUACCUGGUAUGUUCUUGUUUCUCAUUACUAGGCUUAUCAGCAGCACACUGUAAGUAGAAGGCUGCAAAAGAUUAAAAGAACAUUAUUUCUAUGAUUUAAAACUAUCAAUUGAAAAUACUACCACAUACUGUGCAAAAAUGAGGAAAAAAGAUUUUUUUUUCUCCUGGAUUCUGAGAAAUUAAGGUAAUAUUUGGCAGCUAAUACAGAACCUGAAGGCAUACAAAUUGUACUUGGCAAAUCUAAUGUCACAUGGCUCUAUCGCCUGCUCUUAUUGCUACAUAUUUUGUUUUGUUAUUGUUUCUGUAAUUUCCAUUUAUGCACCUCUGUCUGUAGAUGUCUAGCAUUCAAGCAAUUAGCACUGCUAAUGAAAGAUGUAUCCUGUAGAAGAGCUUGUCUGCAAUCAGCUUCUGAAGACUGAUUUACCUGUGUAAUAUCCACAGUGUCAGGACUCAAAGUGCUUCUUUAUUAGCUAUCAUGAAUUGUUCAGACAGAGCUUUCUGUAAAGCCAAAUGCCUCUCUAGGUGCAGAAGGGAUUCAUGGUCUGGCACUCUGAACUGCAAGACAAGGCAAUGUGAUUCAGGAAUAUACUUUGAAAGACUCCUGUUAUUUCCCUCUGCAGAAAUAAAGAGGGCUGAAGCCAUCAACAGUCCUCCCCCAACUCCCAAAUCCACAUUCAGCUGGCAUUUCUGGGCACUGAUAUACGAGAGCUGAAAACAAGAGAGAGUAAACAUACUUCCCAUCUGUUAGUUUGUCCUCCACCCCCUCUUCUUAGAAAUCACAGAAACAGAAGAAUCAGCUGGAUGGAACCUUUACAGGUCAACUAAUCCGCCCCCACAUUCCCUUACCCACAGAUCUGUGUAUUAACACCCAAAUAAACAUAGAUUGAUGUCACU
Gallus gallus (chicken) is the source of this 1837-nucleotide long non-coding RNA. NCBI's taxonomy places the organism in Eukaryota, Metazoa, Chordata, Aves, Galliformes, Phasianidae. The record is from Ensembl.